GCCCAGAUAUCUCAGUCAGUAGAGCAUCAGACUUUUACUCUGAGGGUCCAGGGUUCAAGUCCCUGUUUGGGUG
This 73-nucleotide transfer RNA is filed under the name Ameiurus melas (black bullhead). It matches the Rfam family "tRNA". Rfam says of the family: Transfer RNA (tRNA) molecules are approximately 80 nucleotides in length. The record is from Rfam by way of RNAcentral. Lineage: Eukaryota; Metazoa; Chordata; Actinopteri; Siluriformes; Ictaluridae.